This 406-nucleotide unclassified non-coding RNA is filed under the name soil metagenome. RNAcentral's name for it is "partial contains 5.8S ribosomal RNA, internal transcribed spacer 2, and large subunit ribosomal RNA". The stretch from base 2 to 122 matches the Rfam family "5.8S ribosomal RNA", at positions 35 to 154 of the family's 154-position model. The record is from RNAcentral.
GGAUGAAGAACGCAGCGAAAUGCGAUAAGUAAUGUGAAUUGCAGAAUUCAGUGAAUCAUCGAAUCUUUGAACGCACCUUGCGCCCUUUGGCCAUUCCGAAGGGCAUGCCUGUUUGAGUAUCAUGAACACCUCAACUCUUUAUGGUUUUCCAUGAUGAGCUUGGACUUUGGGGGUUUUGCUGGCCUAUGGUCGGCUCCUCUAAAAUAAAUCAGCUUACCGGUGUUUGGUGGGUAUCAUGGGUGUGAUAACUAUCUACGCUUGUGGUUUUUCCACCAGGUAACCUUCGACAGCGGAGGUUCACUGGAGCUCAUAGAUGUCUCUCCUCAGCGAGGACAGCCCUUUGAAUGUUUGAUCUCAAAUCAGGUAGGACUACCCGCUGAACUUAAGCAUAUCAAUAAGCGGAGGA